GGCUGGGUGGCUCAGCUGGUUGGAGCAUUGUCCCAUGUACCAAAGGUUGCGGGUUCUAUUCCCGGUCGGGCCA
This 73-nucleotide transfer RNA is filed under the name Myotis lucifugus (little brown bat). It matches the Rfam family "tRNA". Rfam says of the family: Transfer RNA (tRNA) molecules are approximately 80 nucleotides in length. Their secondary structure includes four short double-helical elements and three loops (D, anti-codon, and T loops). Further hydrogen bonds mediate the characteristic L-shaped molecular structure. tRNAs have two regions of fundamental functional importance: the anti-codon, which is responsible for specific mRNA codon recognition, and the 3' end, to which the tRNAs corresponding amino acid is attached (by aminoacyl-tRNA synthetases). tRNAs cope with the degeneracy of the genetic code in two manners: having more than one tRNA (with a specific anti-codon) for a particular amino acid; and 'wobble' base-pairing, i.e. permitting non-standard base-pairing at the 3rd anti-codon position. Lineage: Eukaryota; Metazoa; Chordata; Mammalia; Chiroptera; Vespertilionidae. The record is from Rfam by way of RNAcentral.